AGGACGAACGCUGGCGGCGUGCUUAACACAUGCAAGUCGAGCGGAAAGGCCCUUCGGGGUACUCGAGCGGCGAACGGGUGAGUAACACGUGAGUAAUCUGCCCCUAGCUCUGGGAUAGCUCCGGGAAACCGGGAUUAAUACCAGAUACGACCACUUUAGACAUCUUCUGUGGUGGAAAGAACUUCGGCUAGGGAUGAACUCGCGGCCUAUCAGCUUGUUGGUGAGGUAACGGCUCACCAAGGCGACGACGGGUAGCCGGCCUGAGAGGGCGACCGGGCCACACUGGGACUGAGACACGGCCCAGACUCCUACGGGAGGCAGCAGUGGGGAAUAUUGCGCAAUGGGCGAAAGCCUGACGCAGCGACGCCGCGUGGGGGAUGAAGGCCUUCGGGUUGUAACCCCUUUCAGCAGGGACGAAGCGAAGUGACGGUACCUGCAGAAGAAGCGCCGGCUAACUACGCGCCAGCAGCCGC
RNAcentral lists this ribosomal RNA (473 nucleotides) under uncultured bacterium. RNAcentral describes it as "SSU rRNA". It matches the Rfam family "Bacterial small subunit ribosomal RNA", at positions 26 to 518 of the family's 1533-position model. The record is from RNAcentral.